Molecule: ribosomal RNA, 497 nt
Filed under: uncultured bacterium
Lineage: Bacteria
Description: partial 16S ribosomal RNA
Rfam family: Bacterial small subunit ribosomal RNA
Source: RNAcentral
GAUGAACGCUGGUGGCGUGCCUAAUACAUGCAAGUCGAGCGAACGGACGAGAAGCUUGCUUCUCUGAUGUUAGCGGCGGACGGGUGAGUAACACGUGGAUAACCUACCUAUAAGACUGGGAUAACUUCGGGAAACCGGAGCUAAUACCGGAUAAUAUUUUGAACCGCAUGGUUCAAAAGUAAAAGACGGUCUUGCUGUCACUUAUAGAUGGAUCCGCGCUGCAUUAGCUAGUUGGUAAGGUAACGGCUUACCAAGGCAACGAUGCAUAGCCGACCUGAGAGGGUGAUCGGCCACACUGGAACUGAGACACGGCCCAGACUCCUACGGGAGGCAGCAGUAGGGAAUCUUCCGCAAUGGGCGAAAGCCUGACGGAGCAACGCCGCGUGAGUGAUGAAGGUCUUCGGAUCGUAAAACUCUGUUAUUAGGGAAGAACAUAUGUGUAAGUAACUGUGCACAUCUUGACGGUACCUAAUCAGAAAGCCACGGCUAACUACGUG